Unclassified non-coding RNA from Fukomys damarensis (Damara mole-rat), 298 nucleotides. It matches the Rfam family "Metazoan signal recognition particle RNA". From Rfam's summary of the family: The signal recognition particle (SRP) is a universally conserved ribonucleoprotein. It is involved in the co-translational targeting of proteins to membranes. The record is from Ensembl. Lineage: Eukaryota; Metazoa; Chordata; Mammalia; Rodentia; Bathyergidae.
GCUGGGUGUGGUGGCGCGCACCUGUAAUCCCAGCUACUCGGAAGGCUGAGGUGGGAGGGAUCACUUGAGUCCAGGAGUUCUGGGCUGCAGUGCGCUAUGCUGAUCGGGUGUCCCCAUUAAGUUCAGCAUCAAUAUGGUGACCUCCCGGGAGCAGGGCACCACUGGGUUGCCUAAGGAGGGGUGAACCAGCCCAGGCCAGAAAUGGAGCAGGUCAGAUUACCAGGAUGAUGGCACUGCCAAACCAGUCACAUGUAGUGACUUCAUCCCAGCAUUCCUCACUCUAGAUUCACCCACUUAU